GAUGAACGCUGGCGGCGUGCCUAAUACAUGCAAGUCGAGCGAACAGGCGAGGAGCUUGCUCCUCUGACGUUAGCGGCGGACGGGUGAGUAACACGUGGAUAACCUACCUAUAAGACUGGGAUCACUUCGGGAAACCGGAUCUAAUACCGGAUAAUAUAUUGAACCGCAUGGUUCAUUAGUGAAAGACGGUUUUGCUGUCACUUAUAGAUGGAUCCGCGCCGCAUUAGCUAGUUGGUAAGGUAACGGCUUACCAAGGCAACGAUGCGUAGCCGACCUGAGAGGGUGAUCGGCCACACUGGAACUGAGACACGGUCCAGACUCCUACGGGAGGCAGCAGUAGGGAAUCUUCCGCAAUGGGCGAAAGCCUGACGGAGCAACGCCGCGUGAGUGAUGAAGGUCUUCGGAUCGUAAAACUCUGUUAUUAGGGAAGAACAAAUGUGUAAGUAACUAUGCACGUCUUGACGGUACCUAAUCAGAAAGCCACGGCUAACUACGUG
This 497-nucleotide ribosomal RNA is filed under the name uncultured bacterium. RNAcentral describes it as "partial 16S ribosomal RNA". It matches the Rfam family "Bacterial small subunit ribosomal RNA", at positions 28 to 507 of the family's 1533-position model. The record is from RNAcentral.